Long non-coding RNA from Gossypium arboreum, 296 nucleotides. RefSeq lists it as uncharacterized. NCBI's taxonomy places the organism in Eukaryota, Viridiplantae, Streptophyta, Magnoliopsida, Malvales, Malvaceae. The record is from RefSeq and is a predicted model, not a curated record. The transcript is spliced from 2 exons.
AAUAAAUUAUGAAAUUUUAUUACAAGAAAAAAGGGUGAAAAGAACAAAGUUUUGUCCAUCUUUGUUCAUCAUAGCUGAAAGUUAGAGAAGAGAAAGGAGAGGAGAAAGCUCUUGAGUAUUCGGUCAUUAGGAGGAGGAAAAUUGAAGGAAAUCCCCAACCAUAGUGGGCUUGGAGUUGUGAGGGAAUUCGGAGUGGCCACCCGUUCUGAAAGUUUGAUUUUCUUCUGGUAAACUGGACAUCCUUUUAUUUACGUUUGAAGUUUUGGGUUUUCAAAUGUAAUAAGGCCGCUUAGUUA